CGGGUGAGUAACGCGUAGGAACCUGUCAUGGAGUGGGGGAUAACGUUGGGAAACCGGCGCUAAUACCGCAUGUGAUCUCGGGGAACCGAGAGGAAAGCAGCAAUGCGCUCGAUGAGGGGCCUGCGUCCGAUUAGCUAGUUGGUGGGGUAAAGGCCUACCAAGGCGACGAUCGGUAGCUGGUCUGAGAGGAUGGUCAGCCACACUGGGACUGAGACACGGCCCAG
Molecule: ribosomal RNA, 224 nt
Filed under: uncultured bacterium
Lineage: Bacteria
Description: partial 16S ribosomal RNA
Rfam family: Bacterial small subunit ribosomal RNA
Source: RNAcentral